GACGAACGCUGGCGGCGUGCUUAACACAUGCAAGUCGAACGGAAAGGCCCUGCUUUUGCGGGGUGCCCGAGUGGCGAACGGGUGAGUAACCCGUGAGUAACCUGCCCUUGACUUUGGGAUAACUUCAGGCAACUGGGGCUAAUACCGGCUAGGAGCUCCUGCUGCUUGGUGGGGGUUGGAAAGUUUCGGCGGUUGGGGAUGGACUCGCGGCUUAUCAGCUUGUUGGUGGGGUAGUGGCUUACCAAGGCUUUGACGGGUAGCCGGCCUGAGAGGGUGACCGGCCACAUUGGGACUGAGGUACGGCCCAGACUCCUACGGGAGGCAGCGGUGGGGAGUAUUGCACAAUGGGCGGAAGCCUGAUGCAGCGACGCCGCGUGCGGGAUGACGGCCUUGGGGUUGUAAACCGCUUUAGCCUGUGACGAAGCGUUAGUGACGGUAAUGGGUGAAGAAGCACCGGCUAACUACGUG
This 468-nucleotide ribosomal RNA is filed under the name uncultured bacterium. Its description in RNAcentral is "partial 16S ribosomal RNA". It matches the Rfam family "Bacterial small subunit ribosomal RNA", at positions 28 to 507 of the family's 1533-position model. The record is from RNAcentral.